UUUGGCUCGGAUUCGGGGCUGG
This 22-nucleotide non-coding RNA is filed under the name Rattus norvegicus (Norway rat). The record is from RNAcentral. Lineage: Eukaryota; Metazoa; Chordata; Mammalia; Rodentia; Muridae.